This 254-nucleotide ribosomal RNA is filed under the name uncultured Armatimonadota bacterium. RNAcentral describes it as "uncultured Armatimonadetes bacterium partial 16S ribosomal RNA". It matches the Rfam family "Bacterial small subunit ribosomal RNA", at positions 524 to 776 of the family's 1533-position model. The record is from RNAcentral. Lineage: Bacteria; Bacillati; Armatimonadota.
GACGUAGGGAGCAAGCGUUGUCCGGAUUUACUGGGCGUAAAGGACGCGUAGGCGGUCCGUUAAGUGUGAAGUGAAAUCUCCAGGGCUCAACCCGGAAACUGCUUUACAUACUGGCGGACUGGAGGGAUGCAGAGGUAAGUAGAAUUCCUGGUGUAGCGGUGAAAUGCGUUGAUAUCAGGAGGAAUACCGAUGGCGAAGGCAGCUUACUGGGCAUCAUCUGACGCUGAGGCGUGAAAGCGUGGGUAGCAAACAGG